This 480-nucleotide ribosomal RNA is filed under the name uncultured bacterium. RNAcentral describes it as "bacterial SSU rRNA". It matches the Rfam family "Bacterial small subunit ribosomal RNA", at positions 30 to 506 of the family's 1533-position model. The record is from RNAcentral.
UUGAACGCUGGCGGCAUGCCUUACACAUGCAAGUCGAACGGUAACAGGUCCUCGGAUGCUGACGAGUGGCGAACGGGUGAGUAAUACAUCGGAACGUGCCCGAUCGUGGGGGAUAACGGAGCGAAAGCUUUGCUAAUACCGCAUACGAUCUACGGAUGAAAGCAGGGGACCGCAAGGCCUUGCGCGGACGGAGCGGCCGAUGGCAGAUUAGGUAGUUGGUGGGAUAAAAGCUUACCAAGCCGACGAUCUGUAGCUGGUCUGAGAGGACGACCAGCCACACUGGGACUGAGACACGGCCCAGACUCCUACGGGAGGCAGCAGUGGGGAAUUUUGGACAAUGGGCGAAAGCCUGAUCCAGCCAUGCCGCGUGCAGGAUGAAGGCCUUCGGGUUGUAAACUGCUUUUGUACGGAACGAAAAGACUCCUUCUAAUACAGGGGGUCCAUGACGGUACCGUAAGAAUAAGCACCGGCUAACUACGU